CCUACGGGGGGCAGCAGUGGGGAAUAUUGGACAAUGGGGGGAACCCUGAUCCAGCCAUGCCGCGUGUGUGAAGAAGGCCCUCGGGUUGUAAAGCACUUUCAGUGAGGAAGAACGCCUGGUGGUUAAUACCCAUCAGGAAAGACAUCACUCACAGAAGAAGCACCGGCUAACUCCGUGCCAGCAGCCGCGGUAAUACGGAGGGUGCGAGCGUUAAUCGGAAUUACUGGGCGUAAAGCGCGCGUAGGUGGCUUGAUAAGCCGGUUGUGAAAGCCCCGGGCUCAACCUGGGAACGGCAUCCGGAACUGUCAAGCUAGAGUGCAGGAGAGGAAGGUAGAAUUCCCGGUGUAGCGGUGAAAUGCGUAGAGAUCGGGAGGAAUACCAGUGGCGAAGGCGGCCUUCUGGACUGACACUGACACUGAGGUGUGAAAGCGUGGGUAGCAAACAGGAUUAGAUACCCGUGUAGUC
This 465-nucleotide ribosomal RNA is filed under the name Vreelandella stevensii. Its description in RNAcentral is "partial 16S ribosomal RNA". It matches the Rfam family "Bacterial small subunit ribosomal RNA", at positions 338 to 795 of the family's 1533-position model. The record is from RNAcentral. Lineage: Bacteria; Pseudomonadati; Pseudomonadota; Gammaproteobacteria; Oceanospirillales; Halomonadaceae.